This 1405-nucleotide long non-coding RNA is filed under the name Felis catus (domestic cat). RNAcentral describes it as "lncRNA (ENSFCAG00000043409.2)". Lineage: Eukaryota; Metazoa; Chordata; Mammalia; Carnivora; Felidae. The record is from RNAcentral.
UUUAUAUCAAAGAGUCAUCUUAGUGUCCUGUCACACUUAAUGAAUAGCAUGAAAUUUAUCUCUUAUACCUUCAUCUCCCCUACAGAGAGAAAGUCUUCAGGUCAAGAAUGUUGAGAAUCUGGAACACAGCUCAAUGCCUGGUGCAUGCAUUUCUUCAUUUGGAAGACGUGGCAUAUGUGUACAAGAAAAGACAAGUUCAAGACCCAUGAGUUUGAGAGAGGAGAGCAUUCUGACCCACCUCAACUGCUAUUCUUCGAAAACCUACACACUCAUCUGAAGCUUUCUCCAGAUUAUCAACAAUCCACCCUAAGGACUCUCCCCUUCUCAAUCUCCAGAGCCAAACUUUCUUCUAAACUAAAGAUGCCAAGUUGGCCUUCCAGAACCCUCUCCUCCUUCCAGAGCUGAACCUGAGAAGCCAGUCUUUGCCACCGGCACGGGAGGACCCAGGCCUUCAGUCCUUCCACUUUGGCCCUCGCUGCCAACACAGGCUUCCAUGUCACAGAGCAAAGCACCGUUAUGAGCAGACCCCAGAGCCUUCAGAGGAAGGCGGCCGAGGCAGCUGCUCCCACGUGGUGUGAGUGAGCACUCUCCAGAAUGACUUUUCCCCGUCCUUUCCUGCCAGCGGCGGCUCUUUGGAGCAAGCGCCUCAAAACUCUUCAGGCCUCUACUCAUUACCCGCUUCCAAAGGCGCUUCCACACGUUUAGGUGUUUGUUACAGCGCCCCAUCAUCAGUGCCAAUUUCUGUCUUCAUCUGCUCGGGCUGCUGUAACAGUUCCUGAAGCCACCAGCCUGAGUGGCUGAAACAACAGACAUCUAGUUCUCACAGUUCUGAGGCCUGAAAGUCCGAGAUCAAACUGCUGGCUGAUUCUGUUCAGCGAGGACUCGCUGGCGGAUGGCUGCCUUCUCUCCGCAUCCUCGCGUGGCAGAGAAAGAUCUUGUGUCUCUUCCUCUUCUGUAAGGGUACCGACCCCUUCAUGAGGGCUCCCCUGUGAUGAUCUGGUCUAACCCUAGUAAAUCUUACCUCCCGUACUGGCACACAGAAUGGUGGAGGACACCAACAUUCAGCCCAUGGUGCACUGUGCCUGUGGGGCAGGGAUGGGAUUAGAAUGUUCCGCUCAGAUGAACUCAGAGGAUCAUCUGUCAGCAGGGCUCCUCACCCCCCAUGUCUCUUAGGUCUAGGAAGAUGUAAAGUACAAUAGCUCCAGCUUCCAACAUCGUGGAGUUUUGAGAGAUGGAGAGGGGGAAGGAUUCAUCCGUUCAUUCAAGUAAUCAGUCAAGUUAACAUUUACUGAGUCCUUUUGAACAGUGUUAGUUCUGGGAGCAGAGAUGAAUAUGCAAACACUAGUCUUUAAAGGAGCUCCCAGUGUAAUGGGGGAAAGACACAUAUAUAAACAAAUGACGGUGG